GAUGAACGCUGGCGGCGUGCCUAAUACAUGCAAGUCGAGCGAAUGGAUUAAGAGCUUGCUCUUAUGAAGUUAGCGGCGGUCGGGUGAGUAACACGUGGGUAACCUGCCCAUAAGACUGGGAUAACUCCGGGAAACCGGGGCUAAUACCGGAUAACAUUUUGAACCGCAUGGUUCGAAAUUGAAAGGCGGCUUCGGCUGUCACUUAUGGAUGGACCCGCGUCGCAUUAGCUAGUUGGUGAGGUAACGGCUCACCAAGGCAACGAUGCGUGGCCGAGCUGAGAGGGUGAGCGGCCACACGGGGACUGAGACACGGCCCAGACGCCUACGGGAGGCAGCAGUAGGGAAUCUUCCGCAAUGGACGAAAGUCUGACGGAGCAACGCCGCGUGAGUGAUGAAGGCUUUCGGGUCGUAAAACUCUGUUGUUAGGGAAGAACAAGUGCUAGUUGAAUAAGCUGGCACCUUGACGGUACCUAACCAGAAAGCCACGGCUAACUACGUGCCAGCCGCCGCGGUAA
This 515-nucleotide ribosomal RNA is filed under the name uncultured bacterium. RNAcentral's name for it is "partial 16S ribosomal RNA". It matches the Rfam family "Bacterial small subunit ribosomal RNA", at positions 28 to 523 of the family's 1533-position model. The record is from RNAcentral.